Long non-coding RNA from Bombus pyrosoma, 1570 nucleotides. RefSeq lists it as uncharacterized. The transcript is spliced from 4 exons. The record is from RefSeq and is a predicted model, not a curated record. NCBI's taxonomy places the organism in Eukaryota, Metazoa, Arthropoda, Insecta, Hymenoptera, Apidae.
AUUUGCGUCGCGUAAUGCGUAAGAAACGAAUAUGAAUUUUCUGUAUCGAGUUAUGAUUUAUACAAUGUUACAGUAUCUAUUUUAAGUUUCAGAAUCGACUAAUGCGUGCUUUUAUUGCAGGAACAAAUAAAUAAAUAUGUAAGUAUGUAUAUAUGUACAUAUAUAUGAUAUUUCUGUAGCAAAGUAGGUUAUGUUAAUUGCCAGAAAGAAUAUUGUGUUUUUAGUUUUAUAAUCGGAUGAUAAUUCUUCAGAUUGAGAUAAUUUAACACCCCUUUGUGCGUUAAGUGUGGUCAACAUUUAAUUAUUAUCGCAGUAUAUCGUUUAUUAUCUUGUUCGUGAUCUGACGCAAAUAGCACGAAACAGUAUUAGUGACGGUACGUGACAUAUUUUAAUUUUAAGACCUUGUGAUAUGUGGAUAGUAAAAGAAAGGAAUAAAAUUCCUUAAAAUAACAAUAUGGUUUGUUUAAAAAACACAGAAUUGUUACUACUGUGUCUCAAGGUAGAAGUUGAAACAUUUGCAGAUUAAAAUGCAUCUAAUAUAACCUGUUAUACGAAUCUAUAUAUUUCAUUGUUUUAAGGUGUUCGCCAGUAUCAUAUCAGAUGACGCAUCCAUUGUAACCAUAACGUUAAUCUUGAAUCAAAGUGAAAUUGCGUGUUACGACUUUAUUUUUACGAUAACCACAGUUCAGAUAAGUUAAGAGUGAUAUCAGCUCCAUCAAUUGGAAACGAGAUGAAACAGGAGGCAAGUAGCGAGAAGUAAUUUCCCGAAACAUUCGCGGAACACUCGAUCGUUCGGUGCGUCAGUUUUUAGGGGAUUAAUCUACAGCAGAUUAAAAAUCACCAGAUUAGAAAGUAAUUUAAUAAAUCUGGAAGUCACUCCUGACACUUAUGUGUAUACAGCUGUAACUAUCAAAUUUGACUUCGGCAAUUUUUGGAACGAGUAAACUAUGGACUCUUAAGAGAGUGUACGAUCAAUUUAAAAUCAUACUGUCUUCAGUUGAAUGCAAGCACCACGAAACCACGCAUGGUUCGCGUCAAUGUCAAAAACAAAGCAGAAUUUCAAGCCGCAUAUCACCCACUGGCCCAAUUCCGAGCAAAAACACUAAUCCAUACAUAAACGAACGUAACAUUAACCAUAGUGUGCAUUCGCCGUUGCACGCGCUAAAACGCUUGCGGGUAAUCCGCAAAAUGACGACCGCCUAAUUGCACAAAGAACGUGGCCGAAGCUUGUCCAAGGUGUGCACACGCGUAAGCAAAGGCAAAAUGCACGAGCCGCGACACGACGAUGCAACGAGCCCUGUCGUCGUUCCACUUCCUCUAAAACAUCGCGACCGCACAACGCUAUUAUAUCCGUCGCGGUGUGCCGAGAAUCGGAGCUGGGGGAUGGUACCCGGUGCCAGAUUGCGCUAAUUAAUGCUAAUUGCCCGAACUAAUAAAUAACUGCAUGAAUAAACAUAUUCGUAGUCUCGGUGGUGAUGGUGGUGGGGGACGGGAGUAGAACCUGUAGGACAGAGAGGAGGAGAUAGGGAUAGGUGGUGGGGUAGAGACUAAUAGAGGAAACUGAAGAGGC